This 253-nucleotide ribosomal RNA is filed under the name uncultured bacterium. RNAcentral describes it as "partial 16S ribosomal RNA". It matches the Rfam family "Bacterial small subunit ribosomal RNA", at positions 524 to 776 of the family's 1533-position model. The record is from RNAcentral.
UACGGGGGGGACAAGCGUUGUUCGGAUUUACUGGGCGUAAAGGGCGCGUAGGCGGACCUCUAAGUCGGGUGUGAAAUCUGUUGGCUUAACUGACAGUCUGCACUCGAUACUGGAGGCCUUGAGUACGGAAGAGGAGAGUGGAAUUCCAGGUGUAGCGGUGAAAUGCGUAGAUAUCUGGAAGAACACCAGUAGCGAAGGCGGCUCUCUGGUCCGAUACUGACGCUAAAGCGCGAAGGCUUGGGGAGCAAACAGG